UUGUCAUGCCAAUGGCACUGCCCGGUAGCUAAAUGCGGAAGAGAUAAGUGCUGAAAGCAUCUAAGCACGAAACUUGCCCCGAGAUGAGUUCUCCCUGAGACUUUAGAUCUCCUGAAGGAACGUUGAAGACGACGACGUUGAUAGGCCGGGUGUGUAAGCGCAGCGAUGCGUUGAGCUAACCGGUACUAAUGAACCGUGAGGCUUAACCUUACAACGCCGAAG
This 222-nucleotide ribosomal RNA is filed under the name Salmonella enterica subsp. enterica serovar Ohio. RNAcentral's name for it is "partial 23S ribosomal RNA". It matches the Rfam family "Bacterial large subunit ribosomal RNA", at positions 2721 to 2925 of the family's 2925-position model. The record is from RNAcentral. Lineage: Bacteria; Pseudomonadati; Pseudomonadota; Gammaproteobacteria; Enterobacterales; Enterobacteriaceae.